Long non-coding RNA from Condylura cristata (star-nosed mole), 1640 nucleotides. RefSeq lists it as uncharacterized. The record is from RefSeq and is a predicted model, not a curated record. NCBI's taxonomy places the organism in Eukaryota, Metazoa, Chordata, Mammalia, Eulipotyphla, Talpidae. The transcript is spliced from 3 exons.
ACCACCCCGGUUUCAGGGAGACAUUUGCUUGCUUCUCUCAGUGUAUCACCCCAGCUGCAACACGGUUUUGACAACGCAUGGCUCUCAGACUAUGGCUCAGAGAUUCCCAAACAGCAGCCGUACUCUGGAACUCUUUGUAUGAGGAGUGUUCCUUACUGGGACUGUGCAGAUGUCUGGGAUUAGUCCGAGUCUCUGACAUCUUUUCUGCACUCUCGAGGACUGGCUCUUUCUCAAAAGGUCGGUGAAAAAGGAGGCCUGGACUCAGCGUGACAAGGACAGAGAGCCCACUGGCCACUCCAGGAAGGACCACCCAUGGGUUAGCAGUGUCUCUCAGGGGGGCAGAAGGAAGGGAGCCUCCUUCUGAGAUCAACCUGAUGAGCUACAGGCCCUGAAACGUGUGCGACCGCUCAGAGUGGUCAUUUAGCGCUCACCACGUCGGAGCAGGAGAAGCCACUCUGCAUUCCAGUUCCCUCACUUCACCUCAAGCCAAUUCCGUGAGAGGGUACAUGAUUGCAGCUCCGCCCCCUCACUGAAAGAAGAGAUAGUCGCCAUGACACCUGCAGUUCUCACGUUCUCUAGCACCAAAGUGACCGGGCAGCUAAACGCCUCCAGCUGAGAGUGGAGGCCAGCCCAGGGAAGAGAGCUUUGACCUGGUAUCAUCGUUUUGGAGCAAUUAUCCCAGGAAAAGGAAGACAAUAUGACACCCUUAUUAAUAGACAAUAUGACACCCUUGUUAAUAUGACUGUGUGCUGUGACUGUCAAUGCCCCUGACAUUUCACUGGUUUGUCCCUACCCCAGUGAAGUGCCCACCUCAGUCCCCGGCUUUGUUCAGAGCUUUUUACCUUUCUUUUCUACCAUUCUCAUCCCUCUUCCCUCCCAGCCUCCCACUGACCACCAUGGGGAUGUGGAAGGCAGGGGGAGAAUGCCACAGGCACCUGACCUUGACCCCUGGGCUCUGUGUCCCCCUCACCCCUCUGUGUGGCUCCUGGAGGUGGACCUUGCAGACCAGGGGACACCCCCUUUCCUGGUCCCCCUGCCUCCCACCUUUAGUGAUUCUCCCGCUUACUGCCACCCUCGCACCGUCACAUGUGUUCAUGUUUCUUAAAAGCCAAACUCUUAGCAGCCCCCCAACCAGGGGUUACUCAUUUUUCUCAUUCCCUUCGCCACAGAAACCGUAGUACACAGCUGUGUUGGGGGCCGCUCUCGAGUUCUCGCCCUGCACUUCUGUCACAGGCCUGUGCCAGUCAGCCUCCCCCCUUCACAGGUCGCCAGAGACCCCUACUUUGCUGCCCCAGGCGAGGCUGUUCCACAGGUGAACGGCAGACCAGGAAAGCCCUGCUACCUGCUCCAAGGCCUACGGUCACUCCCUCCAGGACAGUCCAGCUGGCGGCUGCCUCCAGAGAUUGCAAAACAGCAUGGACUGUAGAGGAGCCUGGCAGGAUCGCAGCUUCCUGUAUCUGAGUCCAGACGCUGCCCUUUAGGGAUGAAGGAUAUGGUGUGGCCCCCGUUGCUAAAAGACUAAGCAUGGAGUGUAGUCCUGGAGCCAGCUCUUCUUCGACUUGUGAGAACUGCUUGUCAAAUCCUGUAGGCCAGUUAUUUAGAAACCAUUAUAAAAAUUGUAAGUUUACAAUUAAACCAAA